UACGAGAGCCUCGAGCGUUAUCCGGAAUUAUUGGGCGUAAAGGGUGCGUAGGUGGUUUUGUUAGUCCUCUGUCAAAUUCCCGAGCUUAACUUGGGAUCCGCAGGGGAGACGGCAAAACUUGAAAGUGCGAGAGGUGUACGGAACUCAUGGUGUAGGGGUGAAAUUCGUAGAUAUUGGGAAGAACACCGGUGGCGAAGGCGGCGCUCUGGACCGAGACUGACGCUGAGGCGCGAAAGCGUGGGGAGCAAACAGG
This 253-nucleotide ribosomal RNA is filed under the name uncultured bacterium. RNAcentral's name for it is "partial 16S ribosomal RNA". It matches the Rfam family "Bacterial small subunit ribosomal RNA", at positions 524 to 776 of the family's 1533-position model. The record is from RNAcentral.